CAAUGAUCCAAUAUUCCUUUUGAAAUGAACUUACAUUCAGAGCCUAGAUACUUCCCAAAUAAAUAAAACUGAAUAUAUAUGUUUUGAUACGAAAUUAAUCACUUUUUCAUUUGUAUCUUGAGGAUAUUAGAAAAAGGUCGUGAGCUAUGGGACUCGGCGAAGGAGAAGGUCAAGGUAGCGGACGUGGCGGACUUUGUCCGGGCAUUCUAUGGGCAAUCUUAUGGUUCCUCAUCCUGAUUUUCCUGGCAUGGCCAAUCGCGUUCUUCUUCGACUGGUGGUACGUGUUUCUCCUGCCCUUCACAGUUUGCUGUGGAUGUAUGACCACGAUAACGGACUUUCUGUUGAAGAUCGUACAGCUGCCGUUAAAAUGUGCGGAGAAUAUGGUCGGAAUGAAGCCACUUUGCGGGUGAUUGAGACGCCCAUUAAACAAUAGUUAUUAUAGAUAUCUACAGUUCGUGACUUAGAGAUCGGGAAGUGAGUGCUUGAGAUAUGAAAACUUUUCGAGGAACUAUUUUUAACCAAACAAUUAACGUACAAUAAUACGUAUAUAUAUUUCUAGACAAAUGCGGACUAUUUUGACUGUGAUCUUUUAUAGUUUCAAUGUGUUUGAACUCUCUGCACAUUCCAUUUGAUACCAGGUGUAAACCAAAUAAAGAAAAUUUAUUUAAAUAUAUCAAGUACUGUAGGUAUAAAUCAUAUGAACAAAAGCAAUGCUGAGCUCAUUGGGCCUCCUGACGUUAUUCUAAAUCUUGCAUUUCAAAGACAAUAUUUGAGCCUAUAUCGACAUUAGUCGCCCGUAUCUUUAACACUUCUUAUGCUUUGCCAAUUCUUAUUUGGUCAUAUGAAAAAAAAAUGCAUUUUUCAAAAACA
Long non-coding RNA from Mya arenaria, 870 nucleotides. RefSeq lists it as uncharacterized. The transcript has 2 exons. NCBI's taxonomy places the organism in Eukaryota, Metazoa, Mollusca, Bivalvia, Myida, Myidae. The record is from RefSeq and is a predicted model, not a curated record.